This 398-nucleotide ribosomal RNA is filed under the name uncultured bacterium. RNAcentral describes it as "bacterial SSU rRNA". It matches the Rfam family "Bacterial small subunit ribosomal RNA", at positions 358 to 773 of the family's 1533-position model. The record is from RNAcentral.
GGAAUCUUGCGCAAUGGGCGAAAGCCUGACGCAGCCAUGCCGCGUGUAUGAUGAAGGUCUUAGGAUUGUAAAAUACUUUCACCGGGGAAGAUAAUGACGGUACCCGGAGAAGAAGCCCCGGCUAACUCCGUGCCAGCAGCCGCGGUAAUACGGGGGGGGCAAGCGUUGUUCGGAAUUACUGGGCGUAAAGGGCUCGUAGGCGGCCAACUAAGUCGGAUGUGAAAUCCCCAGGCUCAACCUGGGAACUGCAUCCGAUACUGGAUGGCUUGAAUUCGGGAGAGGGAUGCAGAAUUCCAGGUGUAGCGGUGAAAUGCGUAGAUAUCUGGAGGAAUACCGGUGGCGAAGGCGGCAUCCUGGACCGACAUUGACGCUGAGGAGCGAAAGCUAGGGGAGCAAAC